CGUGUAGGCGGAUUUGCAAGUCAGAUGUGAAAAACCGGCGGCUCAACCACCGGCCUGCAUCUGAAACUGCUAAUCUUGAGUACGGUAGAGGAAAGUGGAAUUCCAGGUGUAGCGGUGACAUGCGUAGAUAUCUGGAAGAACACCGGUGGCGAAGGCGGCUUUCUGGACCGAUACUGACGCUGAGGCGCGAAAGCCAGGGGAGCAAACA
RNAcentral lists this ribosomal RNA (208 nucleotides) under uncultured bacterium. RNAcentral's name for it is "partial 16S ribosomal RNA". It matches the Rfam family "Bacterial small subunit ribosomal RNA", at positions 568 to 774 of the family's 1533-position model. The record is from RNAcentral.